CUCUCGCUGGGGAUUUUGGUGGCUGUGCUGACAGCCGUGCCACGCAGGCUGUGCCACCACCGGGGGCCUUUCCCCUCACUGCGCUCCGUGUCCCCGCUCCCAGCCUGCGAAAUCAGCCCCUCAGCACCACGUCCCCAGGCUGGGAGCAGACCCCAAGCUUCACCCCAAAGAGCUGAGGGGACGACAACGAAGCUUCCCCCCCCCCCCCCCAACCCUCUCCUCCCUCCUCCGGCCGCCGGCUCCGGGCCGCCCCCGGCGCGUCCCGUCCGUCCCCCGGGAGGCCGGCUCUCCCUCCGCGCCGCCCCGGCUUCCUUCGCCGCAGGUGAGCCGCCUUCGUGUCCCCCCCCCCUUUCGCUUCCCUUUUCCGCCCAGGUGAGAGCCGGCGGCAGCCAUCAUCGCUCCGGCCUCUCAGCAGCUCUUCGCGGAGGGCGAGUGCUUGUCAAGGCUGCUGCCAGAGGUGUCGUGUUCCUCCCUGGGUCUGGGACGUGCUGGGGAUGAGCACCCUGCGUCUCGUGCAAGUGGCAGGCGGCUGGGGGGCCGUGGCAAUAGAAGACUUAAACCUUUCAGCUCUUCUGAUGACCUCUGCUGGCAUCAGCAUGGGGGAAUUCCUGUUUUCUUAGUCUGCUUUUGAAGAAGAUCCAAGUCUUAGGAUCUCAUACAAAACCUUAUGAAACUUUCCCGCUCCCUACGAUGCGUUGAGUCCAGCUCUUCAAAAGUGAAGACAGUAAAAACCCAGAUGCAUGCUGUGCUGAAGUGUUGUGUUUGUUUUGUUGUUUUUUUUUUUCCUGGUAUUGGAAAAUACUGAGCUUCCUGAAAUCCACGAUUUUCACAAUGAUUUUACGAUUACGUUGAGAGUUGGGACAUGAAUUUUGAACUUUGAGGUUUGCAGUUUUGUCUACCAAUAGGAUAAUUAAGUGGCUGGAGAAAUCAGAGAAUGGAGCUAAGGAAUUUGAGUGCAGAGUGGGGAAACUGCUUCUAACGAGACAAACCAUAGUGUUUUGGGAUCAUCCUUCAAAAUUAUCGUCUAAGAACGGACCUCCUAAUUUAGCAACACUCUGCUGACACCCGGCUCAGACUUGAGCAUCAGUGUUUGGAGAUGGAUUAGGGAUGACCUAUUUGGGUCCCCAAACAUCAACAGAUUGCUAAUAUAGGGAGUUGUGUGUUUCCCUGGAGCCCAAAAGCUAGUCGCAGGGACUUGUCCUCAAUUAUAUGGUACUCGAAAACUUGAAGUUAGUUUAUAUUCGUAGAGAUGCCCUCACACCAGAAGGAGCUGUCUACUUUAAAAUAAAACACUUUUGUUUUCCCCUACUCUUUUUGCGAAAGAUCAGAGAACAAAGAAACACCGGGGGUGGUUUUAACGUACUGCACAAAAAUUAAAUCAUUAAAACCAUUGCAAGCUGGCUGGAAGCCAGGUGUGAUCACGAGGAAUCCCGAAGUGCUGUGUAAACUUUCAUUUUUAUACCAACUGUACUCGAGAUCCACUUCAGCAUCUGCUGGGGCAGAAAGGUGGGCAGUGGCUCU
Molecule: long non-coding RNA, 1521 nt
Filed under: Anas platyrhynchos (mallard)
Lineage: Eukaryota; Metazoa; Chordata; Aves; Anseriformes; Anatidae
Description: lncRNA (ENSAPLG00020016579.1)
Source: RNAcentral